UACGUAGGGUGCAAGCGUUGUCCGGAAUUAUUGGGCGUAAAGAGCUCGUAGGCGGUCUGUCGCGUCUGCUGUGAAAACUCAGGGCUUAACCCUGAGCUUGCAGUGGGUACGGGCAGACUAGAGUGCGGUAGGGGAGACUGGAAUUCCUGGUGUAGCGGUGAAAUGCGCAGAUAUCAGGAGGAACACCGGUGGCGAAGGCGGGUCUCUGGGCCGUAAGCUGACGCU
RNAcentral lists this ribosomal RNA (225 nucleotides) under uncultured bacterium. RNAcentral's name for it is "partial 16S ribosomal RNA". It matches the Rfam family "Bacterial small subunit ribosomal RNA", at positions 524 to 747 of the family's 1533-position model. The record is from RNAcentral.